Molecule: ribosomal RNA, 254 nt
Filed under: uncultured bacterium
Lineage: Bacteria
Description: partial 16S ribosomal RNA
Rfam family: Bacterial small subunit ribosomal RNA
Source: RNAcentral
UACGGGGGGAGCAAGCGUUGUUCGGAUUUACUGGGCGUAAAGGGCGCGUAGGCGGCCACCGCAAGUCAGUCGUGAAAUCUCUGGGCUUAACCCAGAAAGGUCAACUGAUACUGCGGGGCUAGAGUGCAGAAGGGGCAACUGGAAUUCUCGGUGUAGCGGUGAAAUGCGUAGAUAUCGAGAGGAACACCUGCGGCGAAGGCGGGUUGCUGGGCCGUAACUGACGCUGAGGAGCGAAAGCGUGGGGAGCGAACAGG